RNAcentral lists this ribosomal RNA (351 nucleotides) under Calotes versicolor. RNAcentral's name for it is "partial 12S rRNA". Lineage: Eukaryota; Metazoa; Chordata; Lepidosauria; Squamata; Agamidae. The record is from RNAcentral.
GCCUACCAUAAAUUUUGCUCGCCAAAAAAGUAUAAGCAUAGAGCUGAAAACUUUAAGGACCUGGCGGUACUCAAUACCAACCUAGAGGGGCCUGUCCAAUAAUCGAUAAUCCACGAAAAACCUAACCCCUUCUAGCCACAUACAGUCUAUAUACCGCCGUCGAAAGCACAUCUUACAAGAGAUGCAGCAAAAAGUUCUACCACAAACACGUCAGGUCAAGGUGUAGCACAUGGAGGGGGUGAGAUUGGCCACACUACCACACCAAAAAUAAACAUGAAAACCACUAACAAGAAUUUAGUAGUAAGUUGGAUAAUGAGUAUCCACCUGAAUCAUUAUAGCUCUAGAGUACGC